RNAcentral lists this unclassified non-coding RNA (338 nucleotides) under soil metagenome. RNAcentral describes it as "partial contains 5.8S ribosomal RNA, internal transcribed spacer 2, and large subunit ribosomal RNA". The stretch from base 1 to 119 matches the Rfam family "5.8S ribosomal RNA", at positions 35 to 154 of the family's 154-position model. The record is from RNAcentral.
GAUGAAGAACGCAGUGAAAUGCGAUAAGUAAUGCGAAUUGCAGAAUCCGUGAGUCAUCGAAUCUUUGAACGCACAUUGCACCUCUCGGUAUUCCGGGAGGUAUGCCUGUUCGAGCGUCAUUUGUACCCUCAAGCUCUGCUUGGUGUUGGGUGUUUGUUCCGCCUCUGUGUGUGAACUCGCCUCAAAACAAUUGGCAGCCGGCGUACUUGUUUCGGAGCGCAGCACAUUUUGCGAUCCAGAUCAACGUACAGCGGCAUCCAAGAAGCCUUAUUUAACGCUCUUGACCUCGGAUCAGGUAGGGAUACCCGCUGAACUUAAGCAUAUCAAUAAGCGGAGGA